Small nuclear RNA from Cyprinus carpio carpio, 118 nucleotides. Its record names the gene U5. It matches the Rfam family "U5 spliceosomal RNA". Rfam says of the family: U5 RNA is a component of both types of known spliceosome. The precise function of this molecule is unknown, though it is known that the 5' loop is required for splice site selection and p220 binding, and that both the 3' stem-loop and the Sm site are important for Sm protein binding and cap methylation. The record is from Ensembl. NCBI's taxonomy places the organism in Eukaryota, Metazoa, Chordata, Actinopteri, Cypriniformes, Cyprinidae.
CAGCUCGAGUUUCUCUUCAUUGUCGCAUAAAUCUUUCGCCUUUUACUAAAGAUUUCCGUGGAGGGGAGCUUUUGCGAGUGACCUGUAUUUUUUUGGGGGCUCUGCUCACAGCAGAGCU